UAGGGAAUCUUCCACAAUGGACGAAAGUCUGAUGGAGCAACGCCGCGUGAGUGAAGAAGGUUUUCGGAUCGUAAAGCUCUGUUGUUGGUGAAGAAGGAUAGAGGCAGUAACUGGUCUUUAUUUGACGGUAAUCAACCAGAAAGUCACGGCUAACUACGUGCCAGCAGCCGCGGUAAUACGUAGGUGGCAAGCGUUGUCCGGAUUUAUUGGGCGUAAAGCGAGCGCAGGCGGAAUGAUAAGUCUGAUGUGAAAGCCCACGGCUCAACCGUGGAACUGCAUCGGAAACUGUCAUUCUUGAGUGCAGAAGAGGAGAGUGGAACUCCAUGUGUAGCGGUGGAAUGCGUAGAUAUAUGGAAGAACACCAGUGGCGAAGGCGGCUCUCUGGCCUGCAACUGACGCUGAGGCUCGAAAGCAUGGGUAGCGAACAGGAUUAGAUACCCUGGUAGUCCAUGC
This 453-nucleotide ribosomal RNA is filed under the name uncultured bacterium. RNAcentral's name for it is "partial 16S ribosomal RNA". It matches the Rfam family "Bacterial small subunit ribosomal RNA", at positions 355 to 800 of the family's 1533-position model. The record is from RNAcentral.